Molecule: ribosomal RNA, 253 nt
Filed under: uncultured bacterium
Lineage: Bacteria
Description: partial 16S ribosomal RNA
Rfam family: Bacterial small subunit ribosomal RNA
Source: RNAcentral
UACGGAGGGUGCAAGCGUUAUCCGGAUUCACUGGGUUUAAAGGGUGCGUAGGUGGGUUGGUAAGUCCGUGGUGAAAUCUCCGAGCUUAACUCGGAAACUGCCGUGGAUACUAUCAAUCUUGAAUACUGUGGAGGUAAGCGGAAUAUGUCAUGUAGCGGUGAAAUGCUUAGAUAUGGCAUAGAACACCGAUAGCGGAGGCAGCUUGCUACACAGUCAUUGACACUGAGGCACGAAAGCGUGGGGAUCAAACAGG